CAUCUUAGCAGUAUCUCCCAUC
This 22-nucleotide microRNA is filed under the name Mus musculus (house mouse). RNAcentral describes it as "Mmu-Mir-1941-v2_3p* (star (passenger))". Lineage: Eukaryota; Metazoa; Chordata; Mammalia; Rodentia; Muridae. The record is from RNAcentral.